AGGGGCGUAGCGCAGUCCGGUUAGCGCACUUGGUUUGGGACCAAGGGGUCGUAGGUUCGAAUCCUAUCGCCCCUA
RNAcentral lists this transfer RNA (75 nucleotides) under Portibacter lacus. RNAcentral's name for it is "Bacteroidetes bacterium YM8-076 tRNA". It matches the Rfam family "tRNA". From Rfam's summary of the family: Transfer RNA (tRNA) molecules are approximately 80 nucleotides in length. Their secondary structure includes four short double-helical elements and three loops (D, anti-codon, and T loops). Lineage: Bacteria; Pseudomonadati; Bacteroidota; Saprospiria; Saprospirales; Haliscomenobacteraceae. RNAcentral also lists the same sequence under 1 other name. The record is from Rfam by way of RNAcentral.